This 492-nucleotide ribosomal RNA is filed under the name uncultured bacterium. RNAcentral's name for it is "partial 16S ribosomal RNA". It matches the Rfam family "Bacterial small subunit ribosomal RNA", at positions 29 to 507 of the family's 1533-position model. The record is from RNAcentral.
AGUGAACGCUGGCGGUAGGCCUAACACAUGCAAGUCGAACGGCAGCACAGUAAGAGCUUGCUCUUACGGGUGGCGAGUGGCGGACGGGUGAGGAAUACAUCGGAAUCUACUUUUUCGUGGGGGAUAACGUAGGGAAACUUACGCUAAUACCGCAUACGACCUACGGGUGAAAGCAGGGGAUCUUCGGACCUUGCGCGAUUGAAUGAGCCGAUGUCGGAUUAGCUAGUUGGCGGGGUAAAGGCCCACCAAGGCGACGAUCCGUAGCUGGUCUGAGAGGAUGAGCAGCCAGAGUGGGACAGAGAAACGGGCCAGACUCCAACGGGAGGCAGCAGUGGGGAAUAUUGGACGAUGGGCGCAAGCCUGAUCCAGCCAUAUCGCGUGGGUGAAGAAGGCCUUCGGGUUGUAAAGCCCUUUUGUUGGGAAAGAAAAGCAGCAGGUUAAUACCCCGCUGUUCUGACGGUACCCAAAGAAUAAGCACCGGCUAACUUCGUG